RNAcentral lists this ribosomal RNA (407 nucleotides) under uncultured bacterium. RNAcentral describes it as "bacterial SSU rRNA". It matches the Rfam family "Bacterial small subunit ribosomal RNA", at positions 355 to 776 of the family's 1533-position model. The record is from RNAcentral.
UGGGGAAUAUUGCACAAUGGGGGAAACCCUGAUGCAGCAACGCCGCGUGAAGGAAGAAGUAUUUCGGUAUGUAAACUUCUAUCGACAGGGAAGAAAAAAAUGACGGUACCUGAAUAAGAAGCCCCGGCUAAUUACGUGCCAGCAGCCGCGGUAAUACGUAAGGGGCAAGCGUUAUCCGGAUUUACUGGGUGUAAAGGGUGAGUAGGCGGUUCGGCAAGUCAUAUGUGAAAUUCUGAGGCUUAACCUCAGCGCUGCAUAAGAAACUGUCGGACUAGAGUGCAGGAGAGGCAAGCGGAAUUCCUAGUGUAGCGGUGAAAUGCGUAGAUAUUAGGAAGAACACCGGUGGCGAAGGCGGCUUGCUGGACUGUAACUGACGCUGAGUCACGAAAGCGUGGGGAGCGAACAGG